UGCCGCCGAUGAUGUUGAUGAUGAUGCAUGAGUGUUUGGUUGGUAGGUGAAGAUGAUGGUGGUAUUGAUGUAAAAAUAUGUAGAAGAAGGAUUUGGACUGAGAAGGAUCUCCAUAAGAUUAUCUUCAACUCUAUCUUUUUCAUGUUCUUGUAUGAUAUUGGAAUUUGGAUACUAUGACAUGUUUGUUAUAACUUUAUUGUAGUGUUUGGU
Zingiber officinale is the source of this 210-nucleotide long non-coding RNA. RefSeq lists it as uncharacterized. The record is from RefSeq and is a predicted model, not a curated record. Lineage: Eukaryota; Viridiplantae; Streptophyta; Magnoliopsida; Zingiberales; Zingiberaceae. The transcript has 3 exons.